AAAAAAGGGUGCCAUUCAAGCCAGCACACGGAGGUAAUGCUCAAGAUGCAAGCUUGAUUUCCAAAAUCUCAACACUUGGAGCAAAUUGGUAAGUCUGCAAUUUUGUCUAUUCUGGGAGCUGUGCAAAUGCAAUGCCUGUUGGAGCAGACACCAGUUGCAGGUAAUUGGGUAAUUACUUGGCAGGGCAGUAUUCAGCUGUAGGUAAUGGGGUAGAUAGGUCCCCUCCCCCUUUCCUUCCUUCCCUUUCUCCUUCCUGGCUGUGAGGCUGAAGCCCCAGGAGUAUGAGAUCUGUUAGGUGCUGGUUUUUCUCAAGACUAGUGGUUGGAGGAUUCCCACUACGGCUGUGCUGCUGGGUCUUUUCCUCAGGUGUUUACUACUUUAGCGGUUUCCAGCAGUGAUCGCUGAGAGGGCACGUUGUUUCAGGCGUGCUGGUAAGUAGUGGAAGUAAGAAGACCUUCGGGUCUAACUAUCCUCCUCCCUUAUCGGUAAGUGUUUGGUCCUCUUUCCCCAGAUGUGGGUUACACAUUUGGU
Molecule: long non-coding RNA, 531 nt
Organism: Xenopus tropicalis (tropical clawed frog)
Lineage: Eukaryota; Metazoa; Chordata; Amphibia; Anura; Pipidae
Exons: 3
Source: RefSeq, a predicted model, not a curated record